CCUACGGGUGGCUGCAGUGGGGAAUAUUGCACAAUGGGCGCAAGCCUGCUGCAGCCAUGCCGCGUGUGUGAAGAAGGCCUUCGGGUUGUAAAGCACUUUCAGCGGGGAGGAAGGCGUUAAGGUUAAUAACCUUGUCGAUUGACGUUACCCGCAGAAGAAGCACCGGCUAACUCCGUGCCAGCAGCCGCGGUAAUACGGAGGGUGCAAGCGUUAAUCGGAAUUACUGGGCGUAAAGCGCACGCAGGCGGUCUGUCAAGUCGGAUGUGAAAUCCCCGGGCUCAACCUGGGAACUGCAUUCGAAACUGGCAGGCUAGAGUCUUGUAGAGGGGGGUAGAAUUCCAGGUGUAGCGGUGAAAUGCGUAGAGAUCUGGAGGAAUACCGGUGGCGAAGGCGGCCCCCUGGACAAAGACUGACGCUCAGGUGCGAAAGCGUGGGGAGCAAACAGGAUUAGAUACCCUAGUAGUC
Molecule: ribosomal RNA, 465 nt
Filed under: uncultured Klebsiella sp.
Lineage: Bacteria; Pseudomonadati; Pseudomonadota; Gammaproteobacteria; Enterobacterales; Enterobacteriaceae
Description: bacterial SSU rRNA
Rfam family: Bacterial small subunit ribosomal RNA
Source: RNAcentral